Molecule: ribosomal RNA, 253 nt
Filed under: uncultured bacterium
Lineage: Bacteria
Description: partial 16S ribosomal RNA
Rfam family: Bacterial small subunit ribosomal RNA
Source: RNAcentral
UACGGAGGGUGCGAGCGUUGUUCGGAAUCACUGGGCGUAAAGCGCGUGUAGGCGGCUCGGUAAGUCUGCUGUGAAAGUCCAGGGCUCAACCCUGGGAUGCCGGUGGAUACUGUCGAGCUCGAGUCCGGAAGAGGCGAGUGGAAUUCCUGGUGUAGCGGUGAAAUGCGCAGAUAUCAGGAGGAACACCAAUGGCGAAGGCAGCUCGCUGGGACGUGACUGACGCUGAGACGCGAAAGCGUGGGGAGCAAACAGG